AGAGUUUGAUCAUGGCUCAGGACGAACGCUGGCGGCGUGCUUAACACAUGCAAGUCGAACGGAAAGGCCCUUCGGGGUACUCGAGUGGCGAACGGGUGAGUAACACGUGGGUGAUCUGCCUCGUACUUUGGGAUAAGCCUGGGAAACUGGGUCUAAUACCGAAUAUGACCUCUGGAUGCAUGUCUGGUGGUGGAAAGUUUUUCGGUACGAGAUGGGCCCGCGGCCUAUCAGCUUGUUGGUGGGGUAAUGGCCUACCAAGGCGACGACGGGUAGCCGGCCUGAGAGGGCGACCGGCCACACUGGGACUGAGACACGGCCCAGACUCCUACGGGAGGCAGCAGUGGGGAAUAUUGCACAAUGGGCGCAAGCCUGAUGCAGCGACGCCGCGUGAGGGAUGACGGCCUUCGGGUUGUAAACCUCUUUCACCAGGGACGAAGAGUGAUUGACGGUACCUGGAGAAGAAGCACCGGCCAACUACGUGCCAGCCGCCGCGGUAAUUC
Molecule: ribosomal RNA, 500 nt
Filed under: uncultured bacterium
Lineage: Bacteria
Description: bacterial SSU rRNA
Rfam family: Bacterial small subunit ribosomal RNA
Source: RNAcentral